Non-coding RNA from Lupinus angustifolius (narrow-leaved blue lupine), 282 nucleotides. It matches the Rfam family "Early nodulin 40". The record is from Rfam. Lineage: Eukaryota; Viridiplantae; Streptophyta; Magnoliopsida; Fabales; Fabaceae.
AUGGAACACUUGUGGCAAAAAUCCAUCCAUGGUUCUUGAAUAAGCAUAGACUAACAGUGUGAAAGGGUCCUCCUCCCUCACACUCCACCACUUCCAACAGUUUGUUUAGGCUUAGCUAUUGGCUUCUCUAAUCACCAAGGGAUAUGCAUACAAAAAAACAUUCUCUUUGACUAACAGAAGCAUAUAAGCAUUAUUCUCCAUUGGAGCAAAGGCUUUCUUUGGCUAUAGCCUAGGCAAGCCGGCAAGUCAUCAUAAAAAGGCUUGGACUUCAUUAGGGGUCCU